GUAACGGCGAGUGAAGCGGCAACAGCUCAAAUUUGAAAUCUGGCCUCCUCGGGGUCCGAGUUGUAAUUUGUAGAGGGUGUUUCGGGCGCGAUGCCGGUCUAAGUUCCUUGGAACAGGACGUCGUAGAGGGUGAGAAUCCCGUAUGCGACCGGCGAUCAAGCCUGUGUGAAGCCCCUUCGACGAGUCGAGUUGUUUGGGAAUGCAGCUCAAAAUGGGUGGUAAAUUUCAUCUAAAGCUAAAUACUGGCCAGAGACCGAUAGCGGACAAGUAGAGUGAUCGAAAGAUGAAAAGCACUUUGGAAAGAGAGUCAAACAGUACGUGAAAUUGUUGAAAGGGAAGCGCUUGCAAUCAGACCGGUCCGGAGGUGAUCAGCCGCUGCUCGUCAGCGGUGCACUCGCCUGCGAUCCGGCCAGCAUCGGUUCGGGCGGUGGGAUAAAAGUCCCGGGAAUGUAGCUUCCUUCGGGGAGUCUUAUAGCCCGGGUCGCAAUGCCGCCCGCCCGGACCGAGGACCGCGCUU
This 517-nucleotide ribosomal RNA is filed under the name Sticta menziesii. Its description in RNAcentral is "partial large subunit ribosomal RNA". It matches the Rfam family "Eukaryotic large subunit ribosomal RNA", at positions 83 to 602 of the family's 3401-position model. Lineage: Eukaryota; Fungi; Ascomycota; Lecanoromycetes; Peltigerales; Lobariaceae. The record is from RNAcentral.